GUGCACCAGUCGAGAAACCUCCGCAAUACACGAAAGUGUGACGGGGCCAUCCCGAGUGCCGUCCGCUGAGGACGGCUUUUCCCCAGUGUACACAGCUGGGGGAAUAAGGAGAGGGCAAGCCUGGUGUCAGCCGCCGCGGUAAUACCAGCUCUCCGAGUGGUGGGGACGCUUAUUGGGCCUAAAGCAUCCGUAGCCGGCUGGGCAAGUCCUCCGUUAAAUCCAACGAUUCAAUCGUUGGGCUGCGGGGGAUACUGUCCAGCUUGGGGGCGGGAGAGGCCGACGGUAUUCCCGGGGUAGGGGUGAAAUCCUAUAAUCCCGGGAGGACCACCAGUGGCGAAGGCUGUCGGCUAGAACGCGCCCGACGGUGAGGGGAUGAAAGCUGGGGGAGCGAACCGGAUUAGAUACCCCGGUAGU
Molecule: ribosomal RNA, 414 nt
Filed under: uncultured microorganism
Description: bacterial SSU rRNA
Rfam family: Archaeal small subunit ribosomal RNA
Source: RNAcentral